CAAGGUCAUAGACUAAACAUCUCGAAUCAAAAGACACUAGUUCCUUAAUAUGUAUGGUUCAUGAGUAAUAUCACUUUACGCAUAAUUCUAAAUAUAAGAGGGGCGAAAACUCCCAUUUAUUGUCUACGCACCCUUGCAACCAAAAUUUAUAAGUUACGACAUGUCGCAACUAACAAUUUAGUAAAAAUAAUUUGUCGAUAUCUUAUAAGGUUAAUGAAAAUAAGUGAAAAUAAGCCAAAAUCAAAAUUUAGAAUUUGACCUUGACCUUUGACCUUGACCUAAUUUUCAUUUUUUUGGACCAAGGAUCUUAAAUCAAAAGAUCCUAGGUCUCUAUCACUUAUGGUUUACCAGUUAGAAAUGCAUAUCACUUAUAUCAUAUAUAAAAGGGGGAUAACUCUCAUAUGGA
This 406-nucleotide long non-coding RNA is filed under the name Mytilus galloprovincialis (Mediterranean mussel). The record is from RNAcentral. Lineage: Eukaryota; Metazoa; Mollusca; Bivalvia; Mytilida; Mytilidae.